Molecule: ribosomal RNA, 472 nt
Filed under: uncultured bacterium
Lineage: Bacteria
Description: bacterial SSU rRNA
Rfam family: Bacterial small subunit ribosomal RNA
Source: RNAcentral
GUUGAGCACUCCUACGGGAGGCAGCAGUGGGGAAUAUUGCACAAUGGGCGCAAGCCUGAUGCAGCCAUGCCGCGUGUAUGAAGAAGGCCUUCGGGUUGUAAAGUACUUUCAGCAGUGAGGAAGGUGGGUAUGUUAAUAGCAUAUUCAUUUGACGUUAGCUGCAGAAGAAGCACCGGCUAACUCCGUGCCAGCAGCCGCGGUAAUACGGAGGGUGCGAGCGUUAAUCGGAAUUACUGGGCGUAAAGCGCAUGCAGGUGGUUUGUUAAGUCAGAUGUGAAAGCCCGGGGCUCAACCUCGGAAUUGCAUUUGAAACUGGCAAACUAGAGUACUGUAGAGGGGGUAGAAUUUCAGGUGUAGCGGUGAAAUGCGUAGAGAUCUGAAGGAAUACCGGUGGCGAAGGCGGCCCCCUGGACAGAUACUGACACUCAGAUGCGAAAGCGUGGGGAGCAAACAGGAUUAGAUACCCUGGUAG